UUCAUCAUCUCUAUGAAAUCACGUUCAAGAAGUCUCAUUCAGCACAGAUCGCGAUACUUGCCAUCAGUUUCCAUGUGCCACAGGGUCGGUGAGUAGAUAUAAUUACGCUCUUUUAAUGCCUGUUAUAAAAUGUAUUCUGUCUUUAUUAAUCAGAUUAGCGCCAUAUUGUUUACUCGCUGUAUUAUAUCAGUCAUCCGCGGCUGUCUUUGAGUUUCAUUGCGUUUAACUAAAUGAACACACCUGCUAACUAGUGUGAUUAAACCCUGUCGGUCACGUGACGUGCCAUAGACUUUCAAUAUAUUCAUUUCAUGUCAAAGAUGUAAAUUUGUAGUAAAAUCAUGGUAACCACGACACGUACAAUAGCAACAAAUUAAAUUUGAAGUUAAAACCCAGGAACGGGACAUUUACCAUGUUUUUUCCUCAGUAACUGUAGUUCUACUAUGGUAUAUUAAUAACCAAUACAACAAUACAAUAAUCAUCAAACUAACUUUGGUUGUACAACUGUAAUGGUCGUUUUUGAUGUGCUUUUAUAUGACAGAUAUCACACAUUUACUGUACCAUGCUUUUGAUACCUUUUUAUGUAAAUCCAAAAAAAGUAAAUAAAUAAAAGGAAACAUUUUUCCCUUCCUGCAGUUCAUUCAUAUCAGUUUAUAUUUUAAAUAUUUUGCUCACAAAACAUUAUUAAAAUUCUGUUUAUAAUUCUAUUUUAUUUUACCCCUCUCCCUUUCUUAUUUUUAUUAUUAUGUAUUUUUUUUUAGCUGAAAAGAUGUAAAGGAAGCAGUCAUCCCUGUGGUGUUUGUGGAGAGGUAUUUUUUCAGAAAUGGAGAAGGCAGAAAGCUGCGGAGGCAGACAUUUGCAGCAGCCAAGUGUUCGAGUGAGCAUGAUGACCACAAGUGUGUGUCGAACUUUUCAUCACCUGAUGACAGUGUUUCCCAAUCCUGAUCCUGGAGAACCCCAGCACUGCACGGUUUUGGCGUCUCUCUUAUCUGUCUUGGAGUCUUCACUGAUGAGCUGAUGAGUUGAAUCAGGUGUGUUUGAUCAGGGAGACAUCUUAAAUGUGCAGUGUUGGGCUUCUCCAGGACCAGGAUUGGGAGCCACUGCCUUAUGGGACACAUCUAAGUGUUUACAGAGAUUUUUAGUUUGAUCAUUCAACUUUGCAUUUUAAAAUAAAUUAAUUGAAAAAUUAUUUUCAAUAUCUAAUUAUUAUUAUUAUUAUUAUUAUUAAUAUUUUACAUACAUUGUAAAGGUUUCCGUGACCCCUUGUGAGAUCUCGACAAAAGGUCUCACAAUUUAUUCCAAAAAUUGAUGCAUGAUGGGAUACACUAAGCCUGGUAUAGAGCUCCGGAGCGGUAUUGGAGAUAAUGUGGGUUUAGUGUUCAUUAAGGGCACUGCGCUUUGGCAUUAUUAAGACUUGCGCACUACUGAUAACAGUCCUGUUAGCUUGUAAUAAUUUUUUUUAAUAUAUAUAUGAAUAUAGCUGUAUAAUUACACACACACAUACGCACAGUAAUGUAUAAGAUGCAUGUAAUGUAGUAAUAUUUUUCUUUCUUUCUGUCUUACAGGAUUGUUUGCAGAUAAUGCUGUUCAAGCUCAACAGCUCUUUUAAGAGCUAACCCUCACAAACCUUCCU
Molecule: long non-coding RNA, 1630 nt
Filed under: Carassius auratus (goldfish)
Lineage: Eukaryota; Metazoa; Chordata; Actinopteri; Cypriniformes; Cyprinidae
Description: lncRNA (ENSCARG00000017891.1)
Source: RNAcentral